Molecule: ribosomal RNA, 253 nt
Filed under: uncultured bacterium
Lineage: Bacteria
Description: partial 16S ribosomal RNA
Rfam family: Bacterial small subunit ribosomal RNA
Source: RNAcentral
UACGUAGGUGGCAAGCGUUGUCCGGAAUUAUUGGGCGUAAAGCGCGCGCAGGCGGUCCUUUAAGUCUGAUGUGAAAGCCCACGGCUCAACCGUGGAGGGUCAUUGGAAACUGGGGGACUUGAGUACAGAAGAGGAAAGCGGAAUUCCACGUGUAGCGGUGAAAUGCGUAGAGAUGUGGAGGAACACCAGUGGCGAAGGCGGCUUUCUGGUCUGUAACUGACGCUGAGGCACGAAGGCCAGGGGAGCAAACGGG